GACGUAGGGCGCGAGCGUUGUCCGGAUUUAUUGGGCGUAAAGAGCUCGUAGGCGGCUUGUCGCGUCGUUCGUGAAAACCUGCAGCUCAACUGCAGGCUUGCGGUCGAUACGGGCAGGCUAGAGUUCGGUAGGGGAGACGUGGAAUUCCUGGUGUAGCGGUGAAGUGCGCAGAUAUCAGGAGGAACACCGGUGGCGAAGGCGGGUCUCUGGGCCGAUACUGACGCUGAGAAGCGAAAGCAUGGGGAGCGAACAGG
RNAcentral lists this ribosomal RNA (254 nucleotides) under uncultured bacterium. Its description in RNAcentral is "partial 16S ribosomal RNA". It matches the Rfam family "Bacterial small subunit ribosomal RNA", at positions 524 to 776 of the family's 1533-position model. The record is from RNAcentral.